Molecule: long non-coding RNA, 560 nt
Filed under: Pan troglodytes (chimpanzee)
Lineage: Eukaryota; Metazoa; Chordata; Mammalia; Primates; Hominidae
Description: long non-coding RNA NONPTRT016098
Source: RNAcentral
UGGGGAUGGCAUCUCUAAGCUCCUUUUCCUUGUUGGCCUCACCCGGCUCAGCCCCUCGGUCCAUCCUCUGCUGGUUUCUUGAGCUCAGCAGCUCAGAGAGCAGUAAACUCUGAGGAGAUCUGACAGCUAUCCAGUCCCGCUCCCUGGUACAGGCAUCCCUCCUGCAGCUCCCUGGCCAAGGUGCCAGGGUGUGUGUGCACGAGGGAGACUUAGAGUGGCAGGCCACGGCAAAGAAAACUUGCUGUUUCAUAACUCUCAGCGAAGAAAUAUUCUUUAAAAACGAAGAUGAGACUAAGCCAGAAGAUUGCAUACCAGAUGUACCAGGCAAUGAACACGCCAGGGAAUUUCUGGCUCAUGCACCAACUAAAGGACUUUGGAUGCCACUGGGGAAAGAAGUCAAAGUUAUGCAGUGUUGGCGUUGCAAACGGUAUGGUCACCGAACGGGUGACAAAGAAUGCCCUUUCUUUAUCAAAGGCAACCAAAAGUUAGAGCAGUUCAGAGUGGCACAUGAAGAUCCCAUGUAUGACAUUAUACGAGACAAUAAACGACAUGAAAAGGAC